Molecule: ribosomal RNA, 435 nt
Filed under: uncultured bacterium
Lineage: Bacteria
Description: bacterial SSU rRNA
Rfam family: Bacterial small subunit ribosomal RNA
Source: RNAcentral
UAACACAUGCAAGUCGAGCGCACCUUCGGGUUAGUGGCGGACGGGUGAGUAACGCGUGAGAAUCUGCCCUCAGGAGGGGGACAACAGCUGGAAACGGCUGCUAAUACCCCAUAUGCCGCGAGGUGAAAUGAAUUUCGCCUGAGGAUGAGCUCGCGUCUGAUUAGCUAGUUGGUGUAGGUAAUGGCUCACCAAGGCAUCGAUCAGUAGCUGGUCUGAGAGGAUGAUCAGCCACACUGGGACUGAGACACGGCCCAGACUCCUACGGGAGGCAGCAGUGGGGAAUCUUGGACAAUGGGCGAAAGCCUGAUCCAGCAAUGCCGCGUGUGCGAUGAAGGCUUUCGGGUUGUAAAGCACUUUUGUCAGGGAAGAAAUGGUUCGGGCCAAUACCUCGGACUUCUGACGGUACCUGAAGAAUAAGCACCGGCUAACUACGUG